This 46-nucleotide ribosomal RNA is filed under the name uncultured Paraglomus. RNAcentral describes it as "partial 28S ribosomal RNA". The record is from RNAcentral. Lineage: Eukaryota; Fungi; Glomeromycota; Glomeromycetes; Paraglomerales; Paraglomeraceae.
GGGCCUCAAAUCAGACAAGAGUACCCGCUGAACUUAAGCAUAUCAA